This 250-nucleotide ribosomal RNA is filed under the name uncultured Leptotrichia sp. RNAcentral describes it as "partial 16S ribosomal RNA". It matches the Rfam family "Bacterial small subunit ribosomal RNA", at positions 524 to 773 of the family's 1533-position model. Lineage: Bacteria; Fusobacteriati; Fusobacteriota; Fusobacteriia; Fusobacteriales; Leptotrichiaceae. The record is from RNAcentral.
UACGUAUGUCGCGAGCGUUAUCCGGAAUUAUUGGGCAUAAAGGGCAUCUAGGCGGCCGGGUAAGUCCGGGGUGAAAACUGCUGGCUCAACCAGCAGCCUGCCUUGGAAACUACCCGGCUUGAGUGCUGGAGAGGUGGACGGAACUGCACGAGUAGAGGUGAAAUUCGUAGAUAUGUGCAGGAAUGCCGAUGAUGAAGAUAGUUCACUGGACGGCAACUGACGCUGAAGUGCGAAAGCUAGGGGAGCGAAC